Molecule: long non-coding RNA, 363 nt
Organism: Felis catus (domestic cat)
Lineage: Eukaryota; Metazoa; Chordata; Mammalia; Carnivora; Felidae
Exons: 3
Source: RefSeq, a predicted model, not a curated record
CAACUGAGCCACCCAGGUGCCUCUAAAGGUUUCAUCUUGAAGUUGACUAACCAUAAAGGUACUCUUGGUCCUCCUUGUGCAUGACUGAAAAAGCAAUUGUCCAGGAAGAGUUUGGGAUGAAAGUCAGAUCCUGUUUCCCAUAGAGGGAUGCAACAAAGUGGACAAUGCCAAAAAGACAGGUGAUCCUACGAGGGCACUUUCACCUUGCUAGAGCAGAAUCUGUGUCCCUUUGGCAGAGACAGUACCACAAAAGACAAAGGCAGACAAAAUGAGAGCAAAUGAUUGGCCCAAACAGAUGCUAAACUAAACAGUGAGUAAGAAAAGCGUUCUUUAAUGAUUAUUUAUUUAAUAAAUUGUACCUAG